UUUGGCAUGUCCAACAGUUAUGCAGAGUGCUACCCAGCCACGUAUGUGAAACCUGGUUAAGGAAGGGAGGCUGGGAUGAUUGGGAAACAAGUUGGGGGUGAAAUGGAAAUUUGAUUCGCUAAGUUCCAGGGCUACUUCUUUUUUUUUUUUUUUUUUUUUUUUUUUUUUUUUUUUUUUUUUGAGACAGAGUCUCACUCUGUCACCCAGGCUGGAAUGCAAUGGUGUAAUCUCUGCUCGCUGCAAUCUCCAUCUCCCGGGUUCAAGCGAUUCUCCUGCCUCACCCUCCCAAGUAGCUGGGAUUAUAGGCAUGCAUCACCACACCUGGCUAGUUUUUGUAUUUUUAGUAGAGAUGAGGUUUCACCAUGUUGGUGAGGCUGGUCUUGAACUCCUGAUCUCAGGUAAUCUGCCCUCCUCAGCCUCCAAAAGUGCAGGGAUUACAGGAGUGAGCCACUGCGCCUGGCCCAAGGCUACUUCUUACUUGGAUGAACUAUUUUAUUAGGCUCUAAGUGGGAGGUCUAGGGGGUGGUCAUUCCUAUGCAGAUAACCUCUUAGUCGGGUAGGUUUCCAGAUGAAGCAUAGGGUCAGGGUAUGCAACAUCUGUUUAACUCUUGCUUCUCCUUAGGAUGGAUGACAUGGCUGUGGAUAGUGAUGAGGAGGUGGAUUAUAGCAAAAUGGACCAGGUAUGUAGUCAGAAGGAUGGUGGGCGCCUUUGGGCAGUUAUUAUUUGUUUUACAUGUAUCUCCUUCCCUACUCCUAAAAAAUCUAUCUCAUUUACUGGGCCCCACCCUCCUUUAGCUGCAGCAGUAGAAACAGCAGCAUUGAGGGUCACGAGCAGCUUAACUAUUUCAGAGUCUUUGCACAAGAUCAAAUGACAUAGGGUCAAAAAUCUAUUUUUUACUUCUUAUAGUAAAGUGCCAGGCUUUGAUUCCCAUGGUAGGCAGUAAGCAAGCAUCAAUGCAUAAGUAGAAAGGGCAGAAAAAAUUGCAGUCUUUGGAAAAUAACUAAAUUUUAUUCUAGCCAGGAUUGAAGUUUUCCUCUAAGUCUUAAGCAAAAUUAAAAAGAGAAAAACCACUAAUGCCACUAAUAGUGAAGAAGUCUCUGUUCUUCCCCUGAGUUCACUGUAUUGAAAUAGCAUGGUUUAAUCUUGGAGCCUUGUUUAAUCCUGCCUCUACUGUUUCUUAGUUUUGUGAACUUGCCAAGUUCUUUCACUGUUCAUGCCUCAGUUUCCUCAUCAGGAAAAUGGAGAGAAAUAUAGUUCCUUCUUCAUAGAUUUUAUGAGAAUUAAAUGAGAUAUGCAUUUAGUGUACAGAAUAAUGCCUGUCACAUAGUAAGUAUGUAAUAAGCAUUUAUUAUUACUUAUCAGGGUAUGAUUUAUGAAUUGUGGAACCUGGGAUUAUGGGAGAGUCUGGCUUCAAUCAAGGGCUGAAAUUCCAUUUCCACUGACAUCUCUUCCUUCCCCAUCCCCCCAUUCUGUCCUGCAACAGGGUAACAAGAAGGGGCCCUUAGGCCGUUGGGACUUUGAUACCCAGGAAGAAUACAGCGAGUAUAUGAACAACAAAGAGGCUUUGCCCAAGGCUGCAUUCCAGUAUGGUAUCAAAAUGUCUGAAGGGCGGAAAACCAGGCGCUUCAAGGAAACCAAUGACAAAGCAGAGCUUGAUCGCCAGUGGAAGAAGAUUAGUGCAAUCAUUGAGAAGAGGAAGAAGAUGGAAGCUGAUGGGUGAGCGGCAUUAUUCUUCCUCUGUGGGACUGGUGGGAAUUGCUUAGUGUAUUGAUCUUAUACUGACCCAUUUCUCCUUCCAUUGCAGGGUUGAAGUCAAAAGACCAAAAUACUAAUCACUAGUUACAACCAGAGAUGCUCCACAAGGAUAUGCUCCCCACUGUUUUCUUUCUACAAUUUCCAAAGGUUGCAAGAUGUUUUUUUGUGGAUGAAUAUAAAAUUUUAUUGUGUAAUUACUUGGUUCCAUUAAAAUUGGUUAACUUGCU
RNAcentral lists this small RNA (1983 nucleotides) under Pan troglodytes (chimpanzee). RNAcentral describes it as "retained intron". The record is from RNAcentral. Lineage: Eukaryota; Metazoa; Chordata; Mammalia; Primates; Hominidae.